CGUGGGGAGUGCAGAACAGAAAUGACCCGUUGUCCGCUGGCAGCUCACCCUGAAGGAAGGCGGUGUAAAGUGUCAGCCUGACCUCGGCUCCCGCCCCAGUUCUGCCACUGAACUUCAGGCCAAGUCCCUUCGCCACAAAAGGGAACAUCCACACAUCGAAGGAACCUGGAUACCUUUGAGGUCAUUAUUCAGCUUACCAUGCCCAUUUUCCCCGAUGGGGAAUUUGGGCCUCGAAAGAUUUCUCCACUCCCUCACUGGUCCACUGUGGGAGUGUUGCCUUCAUGAAUCACCUGCAUACGGAUCCUCA
Molecule: long non-coding RNA, 307 nt
Organism: Zalophus californianus (California sea lion)
Lineage: Eukaryota; Metazoa; Chordata; Mammalia; Carnivora; Otariidae
Exons: 3
Source: RefSeq, a predicted model, not a curated record